RNAcentral lists this long non-coding RNA (367 nucleotides) under Ficedula albicollis (Collared flycatcher). Its description in RNAcentral is "lncRNA (ENSFALG00000024777.1)". Lineage: Eukaryota; Metazoa; Chordata; Aves; Passeriformes; Muscicapidae. The record is from RNAcentral.
CUGAUCAACAAGAACAAUCAAAGGACCGCAAAACUUAUUUGUUUUAAAUGAUAGACAAGGAGAAUGAUGAUUCAUAAGAUGAACUUGCAUGAAGUGGAGAAUUCUUGAUUUCUUCAGUGUUUAAGAAGGCAUAAGAGCUGACAAUUGAGGAGCUACUUGACAUGCUGUAAUCUCAUCUUUGAAAAUGGACCUCAUGGAUUCAAGCCUGUAGGGACUAGAAAACAUUUUUGGAGAAUUUUCCUGUUCUCUCUGCUAUGUUCUCCAGAGGAUGGAAACGGUAGAAGAGAUGACAACAAAUGUCACACACUUAAAUACAUAUAACAUGCAGUCGAUUUCCAAAGAACUCCUUGUUCUCACUGGCAGAGGG